UACGUAGGGUGCAAGCGUUGUCCGGAAUUAUUGGGCGUAAAGAGCUCGUAGGCGGCUCAGUAAGUCAGGUGUGAAAACUCCAGGCUCAACCUGGAGACGCCACCUGAUACUGCUGUGGCUAGAGUCCGGUAGGGGAGCAUGGAAUUCCUGGUGUAGCGGUUGAAAUGCGGUAGAUAUCAGGAGGAACACCUGUGGUGUAGACAGCUUUACUUGGACCACUUCUGACGCUUGA
RNAcentral lists this ribosomal RNA (232 nucleotides) under uncultured bacterium. Its description in RNAcentral is "partial 16S ribosomal RNA". It matches the Rfam family "Bacterial small subunit ribosomal RNA", at positions 524 to 750 of the family's 1533-position model. The record is from RNAcentral.